RNAcentral lists this unclassified non-coding RNA (400 nucleotides) under soil metagenome. RNAcentral's name for it is "partial contains 5.8S ribosomal RNA, internal transcribed spacer 2, and large subunit ribosomal RNA". The stretch from base 1 to 122 matches the Rfam family "5.8S ribosomal RNA", at positions 35 to 154 of the family's 154-position model. The record is from RNAcentral.
GAUGAAGAACGUAGCGAAAUGCGAUACUUGGUGUUAAUUGCAGAAUCCCGUGAACCAUCGAGUCUUUGAACGCAAGUUGCGCCUCAAGCCAUUAGGUUGAGGGCACGUCUGCCUGGGCGUCACAUAUCGUUGCCUGAUGCCAGUUUCCUCGUGAUGGGUGACUGUGCAGGGUGAAUGAUGGCUUCCCGUGAGCAUUGUUGCCUCAUGGUUGGUUGAAAAUUGAGUCCUUGGUAGGGAGCGCCGUGAUAGAUGGUGGUUGAGUGACGAACGAGACCCAAUCAUGUGAGACCCCUACCGAAUUUGGCCUUCAUGACCCACAUGCGUCUUUGGAACGCUCAUGACGAGACCUCAGGUCAGGCGGGGCUACCCGCUGAGUUUAAGCAUAUCAAUAAGCGGAGGA